This 483-nucleotide ribosomal RNA is filed under the name uncultured bacterium. Its description in RNAcentral is "partial 16S ribosomal RNA". It matches the Rfam family "Bacterial small subunit ribosomal RNA", at positions 29 to 506 of the family's 1533-position model. The record is from RNAcentral.
AUUGAACGCUGGCGGCAGGCCUAACACAUGCAAGUCGAGCGGAUGAAGGGAGCUUGCUCCUGGAUUCAGCGGCGGACGGGUGAGUAAUGCCUAGGAAUCUGCCUGGUAGUGGGGGAUAACGUCCGGAAACGGGCGCUAAUACCGCAUACGUCCUGAGGGAGAAAGUGGGGGAUCUUCGGACCUCACGCUAUCAGAUGAGCCUAGGUCGGAUUAGCUAGUUGGUGGGGUAAAGGCCUACCAAGGCGACGAUCCGUAACUGGUCUGAGAGGAUGAUCAGUCAAGCGGGAAUGAGCAACCGGACCAGCCCCCAAGGGGGGGCAGGAGGGGGAAAUGUGGGAAAAGGGGGGAAAGCCUAACCAGGCCAGGCCGGGGGUGGGAAAAAGGUUUUGGGAUUGAAAAGCACUUUAGGUGGGGAGAAAGGGCAGAAAAUUAAACCCUGGUUUUUUGAACGUACCCAACAAAAAAAGCACCGGCAAACUUCGG